GGGAGGCAGCAGUGGCGAAUAUUGCACAAUGGGCGCAAGCCUGAUGCAGCCAUGCCGCGUGUGUGAAGAAGGCCUUCGGGUUGUAAAGCACUUUCAGCGGGGAGGAAGGCGUUAAGGUUAAUAACCUCAUCGAUUGACGUUACCCGCAGAAGAAGCACCGGCUAACUCCGUGCCAGCAGCCGCGGUAAUACGGAGGGUGCAAGCGUUAAUCGGAAUUACUGGGCGUAAAGCGCACGCAGGC
RNAcentral lists this ribosomal RNA (241 nucleotides) under Klebsiella pneumoniae. Its description in RNAcentral is "partial 16S ribosomal RNA". It matches the Rfam family "Bacterial small subunit ribosomal RNA", at positions 343 to 576 of the family's 1533-position model. The record is from RNAcentral. Lineage: Bacteria; Pseudomonadati; Pseudomonadota; Gammaproteobacteria; Enterobacterales; Enterobacteriaceae.